This 843-nucleotide ribosomal RNA is filed under the name bacterium A9 10b-18. RNAcentral's name for it is "bacterial SSU rRNA". It matches the Rfam family "Bacterial small subunit ribosomal RNA", at positions 51 to 892 of the family's 1533-position model. The record is from RNAcentral.
CUAACUGCAGUCGAGCGGUCCCUUCGGGGAUAGCGGCGGACGGGUGAGUAACACGUAGGCAACCUGCCUGUAAGAUUGGGAUAACUAUCGGAAACGAUAGCUAAGACCGGAUAACUGGUUCUCUCGCAUGAGGGGAUCAUGAAACACGGGGUAACCUGUGGCUUACAGAUGGGCCUGCGGCGCAUUAGCUAGUUGGUAGGGUAACGGCCUACCAAGGCGACGAUGCGUAGCCGACCUGAGAGGGUGAUCGGCCACACUGGGACUGAGACACGGCCCAGACUCCUACGGGAGGCAGCAGUAGGGAAUCUUCCGCAAUGGACGCAAGUCUGACGGAGCAACGCCGCGUGAGUGAUGAAGGUUUUCGGAUCGUAAAGCUCUGUUGCCAGGGAAGAACGCUCAAGAGAGUAACUGCUCUUGAGGUGACGGUACCUGAGAAGAAAGCCCCGGCUAACUACGUGCCAGCAGCCGCGGUAAUACGUAGGGGGCAAGCGUUGUCCGGAAUUAUUGGGCGUAAAGCGCGCGCAGGCGGUCAUUUAAGUUUGGUGUUUAAGCCCGGGGCUCAACCCCGGAUCGCACUGAAAACUGGGUGACUUGAGUGCGGGAGAGGAAAGUGGAAUUCCACGUGUAGCGGUGAAAUGCGUAGAGAUGUGGAGGAACACCAGUGGCGAAGGCGACUUUCUGGACCGUAACUGACGCUGAGGCGCGAAAGCGUGGGGAGCAAACAGGAUUAGAUACCCUGGUAGUCCACGCCGUAAACGAUGAGUGCUAGGUGUUAGGGGUUUCGAUACCCUUGGUGCCCAAGUAAACACAGUAAGCACUCCGCCUGGGGAAUACGCUCGCAAG